AUUGAACGCUGGCGGCAUGCUUUACACAUGCAAGUCGAACGGCAGCGCGGGCUUCGGCCUGGAGGCGAGUGGCGAACGGGCGAGUAAUACAUCGGAACGUGCCCAGUAUUUGGGGAUAGCUCGGCGAAAGCCGGAUUAAUCCCGCAUACGACCUGAUGGUGAAACCGGGGGAUCUUCGGACCUCGCGCGAUUUGCUCGGCCGAUGGCAGAUUAGCUAGUUGGUGGGGUAAAGGCCUACCAAGGCGACGAUCUGUAGCUGGUCUGAGAGGACGACCAGCCACACUGGGACUGAGACACGGCCCAGACUCCUACGGGAGGCAGCAGUGGGGAAUUUUGGACAAUGGGCGAAAGCCUGAUCCAGCAAUGCCGCGUGUGUGAUGAAGGCCUUCGGGUUGUAAAGCACUUUUGGCGGGAACGAAAAGGACUGUGCCAAUACCACGGUUCGAUGACGGUACCCGCAGAAUAAGCACCGGCUAACUACGUG
This 484-nucleotide ribosomal RNA is filed under the name uncultured bacterium. Its description in RNAcentral is "partial 16S ribosomal RNA". It matches the Rfam family "Bacterial small subunit ribosomal RNA", at positions 30 to 507 of the family's 1533-position model. The record is from RNAcentral.